AUCGCUUCUCGGCCUUUUGGCUAAGAUCAAGUGUAGAAAGAAUUAGUUUCAAAUGAAAUCAAUAAAAAGUGUAAUAUGAUUUACAAUUAGCAUGUUUGCCUCCUAUUAGACCUAUAUAAAGGUUCUGUU
Oryctolagus cuniculus (rabbit) is the source of this 129-nucleotide small nuclear RNA. Its record names the gene U2. It matches the Rfam family "U2 spliceosomal RNA". From Rfam's summary of the family: U2 is a small nuclear RNA (snRNA) component of the spliceosome (involved in pre-mRNA splicing). Complementary binding between U2 snRNA (in an area lying towards the 5' end but 3' to hairpin I) and the branchpoint sequence (BPS) of the intron results the bulging out of an unpaired adenosine, on the BPS, which initiates a nucleophilic attack at the intronic 5' splice site, thus starting the first of two transesterification reactions that mediate splicing. NCBI's taxonomy places the organism in Eukaryota, Metazoa, Chordata, Mammalia, Lagomorpha, Leporidae. The record is from Ensembl.